UACGGAGGGGGCUAGCGUUGUUCGGAAUUACUGGGCGUAAAGCGCACGUAGGCGGCUUUGUAAGUUAGAGGUGAAAGCCCGGGGCUCAACUCCGGAACUUGCCUUUAAGACUGCAUCGCUUGAAUCCAGGAGAGGUGAGUGGAAUUCCGAGUGUAGAGGUGAAAUUCGUAGAUAUUCGGAAGAACACCAGUGGCGAAGGCGGCUCACUGGACUGGUAUUGACGCUGAGGUGGCGAAAGCGUGGGGAGCAAACAGG
Molecule: ribosomal RNA, 255 nt
Filed under: uncultured bacterium
Lineage: Bacteria
Description: partial 16S ribosomal RNA
Rfam family: Bacterial small subunit ribosomal RNA
Source: RNAcentral